AAUGAACGCUGGCGGCGUGCUUAACACAUGCAAGUCGAACGAGAAAGGGAUUGCUUGCAAUCCCGAGUAGAGUGGCGCACGGGUGAGUAACACGUGGAUAAUCUACCUUUGAAUCCGGGAUAACUGUUCGAAAGAAUCGCUAAUACCGGAUGAUGUCAAUUUUUCUUUGGGAUGAUUGAUGAAAGACAGCCUCUUCUUGAAAGCUGUUGUUUAAAGAUGAGUCCGCGCACCAUUAGUUAGUUGGUGGGGUAAAGGCCUACCAAGACUUUGAUGGUUAGCUGGUCUGAGAGGAUGAUCAGCCACACUGGAACUGACACACGGUCCAGACUCCUACGGGAGGCAGCAGUGAGGAAUUUUGCGCAAUGGGGGCAACCCUGACGCAGCAACGCCGCGUGAGU
Molecule: ribosomal RNA, 398 nt
Filed under: uncultured bacterium
Lineage: Bacteria
Description: bacterial SSU rRNA
Rfam family: Bacterial small subunit ribosomal RNA
Source: RNAcentral